GCGGCGUGCUUAACACAUGCAAGUCGAACGGAAAGGCCCUGCUUUUGUGGGGUGCUCGAGUGGCGAACGGGUGAGUAACACGUGAGUAACCUGCCCUUGACUUUGGGAUAACUUCAGGAAACUGGGGCUAAUACCGGAUAGGAGCUCCUGCUGCAUGGUGGGGGUUGGAAAGUUUCGGCGGUUGGGGAUGGACUCGCGGCUUAUCAGCUUGUUGGUGGGGUAGUGGCUUACCAAGGCUUUGACGGGUAGCCGGCCUGAGAGGGUGACCGGCCACAUUGGGACUGAGAUACGGCCCAGACUCCUACGGGAGGCAGCAGUGGGGAAUAUUGCACAAUGGGCGGAAGCCUGAUGCAGCAACGCCGCGUGCGGGAUGACGGCCUUCGGGUUGUAAACCGCUUUCGCCUGUGACGAAGCGUGAGUGACGGUAAUGGGUAAAGAAGCACCGGCUAACUACGUGCCAGCAGCCGCGGUGAUACGUAGGGUGCGAGCGUUGUCCGGAUUUAUUGGGCGUAAAGGGCUCGUAGGUGGUUGAUCGCGUCGGAAGUGUAAUCUUGGGGCUUAACCCUGAGCGUGCUUUCGAUACGGGUUGACUUGAGGAAGGUAGGGGAGAAUGGAAUUCCUGGUGGAGCGGUGGAAUGCGCAGAUAUCAGGAGGAACACCAGUGGCGAAGGCGGUUCUCUGGGCCUUUCCUGACGCUGAGGAGCGAAAGCGUGGGGAGCGAACAGGCUUAGAUACCCUGGUAGUCCACGCUGUAAACGGUGGGUACUAGGUGUGGGGUCCAUUCCACGGGUUCCGUGCCGUAGCUAACGCUUUAAGUACCCCGCCUGGGGAGUACGGCCGCAAGGCUAAAACUCAAAGGAAUUGACGGGGCCCCGCACAAGCGGCGGAGCAUGCGGAUUAAUUCGAUGCAACGCGUAGAACCUUACCAGGGUUUGACAUGGAUCGGGAGUGCUCAGAGAUGGGUGUGCCUCUUUUGGGGUCGGUUCACAGGUGGUGCAUGCCUGUCGUCAGCUCGUGUCGUGAGAUGUUGGGUUAAGUCCCGCAACGAGCGCAACCCUUGUUCACUGUUGCCAGCACGUUAUGGUGGGGACUCAGUGGAGACCGCCGGGGUCAACUCGGAGGAAGGUGGGGAUGACGUCAAGUCCUCAUGCCCCUUAUGUCCAGGGCUUCACGCAUGCUACAAUGGCUGGUACAGAGAGUGGCGAGCCUGUGAGGGUGAGCGAAUCUCGGAAAGCCGGUCUCAGUUCGGAUUGGGGUCUGCAACUCGACCUCAUGAAGUCGGAGUCGCUAGUAAUCGCAGAUCAGCAACGCUGCGGUGAAUACGUUCCCGGGGCUUGUACACACCGCCCGUCAAGUCAUGAAAGUUGGUAACACCCGAAGCCGGUGGCCUAACCGUUGUGGGGGAGCCGUCGAAGGUGGGACUGGUGAUU
This 1430-nucleotide ribosomal RNA is filed under the name uncultured organism. RNAcentral's name for it is "16S ribosomal RNA". It matches the Rfam family "Bacterial small subunit ribosomal RNA". The record is from RNAcentral.